This 223-nucleotide long non-coding RNA is filed under the name Struthio camelus australis. RNAcentral's name for it is "lncRNA (ENSSCUG00000011938.1)". Lineage: Eukaryota; Metazoa; Chordata; Aves; Struthioniformes; Struthionidae. The record is from RNAcentral.
GUGACUUUCAGUGUGCUUCCAUCUACACGUUCGUGUACCAGAGCAAGAGUCUGACUACAAAAUUCUUUUCUCAGGGUCUCCCUGUGGGUUGCCGCAGUGCCAGGGAAGUAUGUUGUUAGAAGAAAUUGAGCUGGCGAAUACAGUUUUAUUUUUACAAUUCCGGCCUUCAGUACCUAUCCCACAUCUUUUAAGAAUCUCCUCAGCCAGGGAACAGACUCAUUGA